RNAcentral lists this ribosomal RNA (264 nucleotides) under uncultured bacterium. Its description in RNAcentral is "partial 16S rRNA". It matches the Rfam family "Bacterial small subunit ribosomal RNA", at positions 1156 to 1416 of the family's 1533-position model. The record is from RNAcentral.
GGAAAANAGGGAGGAGGGGGGGGGANGAUGUCAGUUCAGNAUNACCCUUACANGUGGGGGGNAGAAACACAAUANANUGGCCGGAACAAAGGGACACCAAGUNGCGAGANGGAGCAAAUCCCAUCAAAGCCGGUCUCAGUUCGGAUAGCAGGCUGAAACUCGCCUGCUUGAAGCUGGAAUCGCUAGUAACGGUAGGUCAGCAUACUACNGUGAAUACGUUCCCGGGUCUNGAACACACCGCCCGUCAAACCAUGAUAGUCACCA